RNAcentral lists this ribosomal RNA (482 nucleotides) under uncultured bacterium. RNAcentral describes it as "partial 16S ribosomal RNA". It matches the Rfam family "Bacterial small subunit ribosomal RNA", at positions 28 to 507 of the family's 1533-position model. The record is from RNAcentral.
GAUGAACGCUAGCGGCAGGCCUAAUACAUGCAAGUCGAACGAGAUUACGAGGCUUGCUUCUUAUGAAAGUGGCGCACGGGUGCGUAACGCGUAUGCAACCUACCUUAAUCAGGGGGAUAGCCCGAAGAAAUUCGGAUUAAGACCGCAUAAAAACACAGGAUAGCAUUAUCCAAUGUUCAAAUAUUUAUAGGAUUAAGAUGGGCAUGCGUGUCAUUAGCUAGUUGGCGGGGUAACGGCCCACCAAGGCGACGAUGACUAGGGGAUCUGAGAGGAUGACCCCCCGCACUGGUACUGAGACACGGACCAGACUCCUACGGGAGGCAGCAGUAAGGAAUAUUGGUCAAUGGAGGGAACUCUGAACCAGCCAUGCCGCGUGCAGGAAGACAGCCCUCUGGGUCGUAAACUGCUUUUAUUCGGGAAUAAACCUUUCUACGUGCAGGAAGCUGAAUGUACCGAAGGAAUAAGGAUCGGCUAACUCCGUG